GACGAACGCUGGCGGCGUGCCUAAUACAUGCAAGUGGGACGCAAGGAAACACACUGUGCUUGCACACCGUGUUUUCUUGAGUCGCGAACGGGUGAGUAACGCGUAGGUAACCUGCCUAUUAGCGGGGGAUAACUAUUGGAAACGAUAGCUAAUACCGCAUAAUAUUAAUUAUUGCAUGAUAAUUGAUUGAAAGAUGCAAGCGCAUCACUAGUAGAUGGACCUGCGUUGUAUUAGCUAGUUGGUAGGUAAGAGCUUACCAAGGCGACGAUACAUAGCCGACCUGGGAGGGUGAUCGGCCACACUGGGACUGAGACACGGCCCAGACUCCUACGGGAGGCAGCAGUAGGGAAUCUUCGGCAAUGGACGAAAGUCUGACCGAGCAACGCCGCGUGAGUGAAGAAGGUUUUCGGAUCGUAAAGCUCUGUUGUAAGUCAAGAACGUGUGUGAGAGUGGAAAGUUCACACAGUGACGGUAGCUUACCAGAAAGGGACGGCUAACUACGUG
RNAcentral lists this ribosomal RNA (504 nucleotides) under uncultured bacterium. RNAcentral describes it as "partial 16S ribosomal RNA". It matches the Rfam family "Bacterial small subunit ribosomal RNA", at positions 28 to 507 of the family's 1533-position model. The record is from RNAcentral.